RNAcentral lists this long non-coding RNA (308 nucleotides) under Ananas comosus (pineapple). RNAcentral's name for it is "long non-coding RNA (ACOM_LNC019514)". The record is from RNAcentral. Lineage: Eukaryota; Viridiplantae; Streptophyta; Magnoliopsida; Poales; Bromeliaceae.
GUAUAUAGUGGGUGAGUUGAAAAGGCUCAUUAGGCCUAUAAAUAGUGAGGUUGGCUAAGGCCAUGAUACACAAGAGAGAGUGUGUUUGUAUGCUAUUUGUAGGUUGUAAUUCUCAUUUUUAAGUAGUGUAGUACUUAGUUUUUUUUUGAGAGAACCUCUGCCUCUUUCUCUUUGUCAUUUCCCUUUGCAUACUUAGUCGUAGGACGCGAAGGUCCGGGCUAGCAACAGGGACAAAGGCUUGUCCAUCUUCGAGCAGGAAAGGUGGGCGCCGCACGGGCUUUGCGAACGAAAACGCUAAGUCCGUGACA